UUGAAGAAGGACCUGUCAUAGUGUU
RNAcentral lists this small RNA (25 nucleotides) under Bombyx mori (domestic silkworm). RNAcentral describes it as "ovarian small RNA-4102". Lineage: Eukaryota; Metazoa; Arthropoda; Insecta; Lepidoptera; Bombycidae. The record is from RNAcentral.